Molecule: ribosomal RNA, 292 nt
Filed under: uncultured bacterium
Lineage: Bacteria
Description: partial 16S ribosomal RNA
Rfam family: Bacterial small subunit ribosomal RNA
Source: RNAcentral
GUGCCAGCCGCCGCGGUAAUACGGAGGGUGCAAGCGUUAAUCGGAAUUACUGGGCGUAAAGCGCACGUAGGUGGUUUGUUAAGCUAGCUGUGAAAGCCCCGGGCUCAACCUGGGAACUGCAGUUAGAACUGGCAGGCUAGAGUACAGUAGAGGGGUGUGGAAUUUCAGGUGUAGCGGUGAAAUGCGUAGAUAUCUGAAGGAACACCAGUGGCGAAGGCGACACCCUGGACUGAUACUGACGCUGAGGUGCGAAAGCGUGGGGAGCAAACAGGAUUAGAAACCCUAGUAGUCC